CACCACUUGGGGAUAACCUUGCGAAAGUAAGACUAAUACCCAAUGAUAUCUCUAGAAGGCAUCAGAAAGAGAUUAAAGAUUUAUCGGUGAUGGAUGGGGAUGCGUCUGAUUAGCUUGUUGGCGGGGUAACGGCCCACCAAGGCGACGAUCAGUAGGGGUUCUGAGAGGAAGGUCCCCCACAUUGGAACUGAGACACGGUCCAAACUCCUACGGGAGGCAGCAGUGAGGAAUAUUGGUCAAUGGGCGAGAGCCUGAACCAGCCAAGUAGCGUGCAGGAUGACGGCCCUAUGGGUUGUAAACUGCUUUUAUAAGGGAAUAAAGUGAGUCUCGUGAGACUUUUUGCAUGUACCUUAUGAAUAAGGACCGGCUAAUUCCGUGCCAGCAGCCGCGGUAAUACGGAAGGUCCGGGCGUUAUCCGGAUUUAUUGGGUUUAAAGGGAGCGUAGGCCGGAGAUUAAGCGUGUUGUGAAAUGUAGAGGCUCAACCUCUGCACUGCAGCGCGAACUGGUCUUCUUGAGUACGCACAACGUGGGCGGAAUUCGUGGUGUAGCGGUGAAAUGCUUAGAUAUCACGAAGAACUCCGAUUGCGAAGGCAGCUCACGGGAGCGCAACUGACGCUGAAGCUCGAAAGUGCGGGUAUCGAACAGGAUUAGAUACCCUGGUAGUCCGCACGGUAAACGAUGGAUGCCCGCUGUUGGCCUGAAUAGGUCAGCGGCCAAGCGAAAGCAUUAAGCAUCCCACCUGGGGAGUACGCCGGCAACGGUGCAACUCAAAUGAAUUGACGG
Molecule: ribosomal RNA, 784 nt
Filed under: uncultured Bacteroidota bacterium
Lineage: Bacteria; Pseudomonadati; Bacteroidota
Description: bacterial SSU rRNA
Rfam family: Bacterial small subunit ribosomal RNA
Source: RNAcentral